GGUAUCCUGUCUGAAUAUGGGGGGACCAUCCUCCAAGGCUAAAUACUCCUGACUGACCGAUAGUGAACCAGUACCGUGAGGGAAAGGCGAAAAGAACCCCGGCGAGGGGAGUGAAAAAGAACCUGAAACCGUGUACGUACAAGCAGUGGGAGCACAGGUUUACCUGUGUGACUGCGUACCUUUUGUAUAAUGGGUCAGCGACUUAUAUUCUGUAGCAAGGUUAACCGUAUAGGGGAGCCGGAGGGAAACCGAGUCUUAAUUGGGCGUUAAGUUGCAGGGUAUAGACCCGAAACCCGGUGAUCUAGCCAUGGGCAGGUUGAAGGUUGGGUAACACUAACUGGAGGACCGAACCGACUAAUGUUGAAAAAUUAGCGGAUGACCUGUGGCUGGGGGUGAAAGGCCAAUCAAACCGGGAGAUAGCUGGUUCUCCCCGAAAGCUAUUUAGGUAGCGCCUCGUGAAUUCAUCUCCGGGGGUAGAGCACUGUUUCGGCUAGGGGGCCAUCCCGGCUUACCAACCCGAUGCAAACUGCGAAUACCGGAGAAUGUUAUCACGGGAGACACACGGCGGGUGCUAACGUCCGUCGUGAAGAGGGAAACAACCCAGACCGCCAGCUAAGGUCCCAAAGUCAUGGUUAAGUGGGAAACGAUGUGGGAAGGCCCAGACAGCCAGGAUGUUGGCUUAGAAGCAGCCAUCAUUUAAAGAAAGCGUAAUAGCUCACUGGUCGAGUCGGCCUGCGCGGAAGAUGUAACGGGGCUAAACCAUG
RNAcentral lists this ribosomal RNA (764 nucleotides) under Salmonella enterica subsp. enterica serovar Reading. Its description in RNAcentral is "partial 23S ribosomal RNA". It matches the Rfam family "Bacterial large subunit ribosomal RNA", at positions 428 to 1191 of the family's 2925-position model. The record is from RNAcentral. Lineage: Bacteria; Pseudomonadati; Pseudomonadota; Gammaproteobacteria; Enterobacterales; Enterobacteriaceae.